Molecule: ribosomal RNA, 254 nt
Filed under: uncultured bacterium
Lineage: Bacteria
Description: partial 16S ribosomal RNA
Rfam family: Bacterial small subunit ribosomal RNA
Source: RNAcentral
CGUAGGGGCAAGCGUUAUCCGGAUUUACUGGGGUGUAAAGGGAGCGUAGACGGUUUUGCAAGUCUGAAGUGAAAGCCCGGGGCUUAACCCCGGGACUGCUUUGGAAACUGUAGGACUAGAGUGCAGGAGAGGUAAGUGGAAUUCCUAGUGUAGCGGUGAAAUGCGUAGAUAUUAGGAGGAACACCAGUGGCGAAGGCGGCUUACUGGACUGUAACUGACGUUGAGGCUCGAAAGCGUGGGGAGCAAACAGGAUU